UACGAAGGGGGCUAGCGUUGCUCGGAAUCACUGGGCGUAAAGCGCACGUAGGCGGCUUGUUAAGUCAGACGUGAAAUCCCUCGGCUUAACCGGGGAACUGCGUCUGAUACUGGAUGGCUUGAGUUUGGGAGAGGGAUGCGGAAUUCCAGGUGUAGCGGUGAAAUGCGUAGAUAUCUGGAGGAACACCGGUGGCGAAGGCGGCAUCCUGGACCAACACUGACGCUGAGUGAGCGAAAGCCAGGGGAGCAAACGGG
Molecule: ribosomal RNA, 254 nt
Filed under: uncultured bacterium
Lineage: Bacteria
Description: partial 16S ribosomal RNA
Rfam family: Bacterial small subunit ribosomal RNA
Source: RNAcentral